Molecule: long non-coding RNA, 709 nt
Filed under: Mus musculus (house mouse)
Lineage: Eukaryota; Metazoa; Chordata; Mammalia; Rodentia; Muridae
Description: long non-coding RNA chr16:65562807-65563516
Source: RNAcentral
ACUUCAAAGGCUGCCCGCUCUUCCCUGCUUUCCGUUGCGACCCGUCCGGACCUAGGUUGGCAAGGCUGGCGGCGCGUGAGUCUGCAAGAUGCUCGCUUGGUUUCUGUGCUGACCUCGGGCAAGAGUGAAACCUGAUCCACGCCUUCCUUGUUGUUCCAGGUUGUUGGAAUUAGGGAUCCUGGGGAUGUGUGGUGGACUGCGGACCUGAGACUGAUUGACAGUAGGACUCCCAAGCGAUCAAUGCAAAGGCCUUAGGGGAUGCCCUGCUAGGCUUGUCCCAGGUGAUCUUCCCAGACUGCCCUGAUGCUACCUGACUCCUGGCUGCCUCUUGCGGGACCCAUCUUCACCUACCACCCGGUUUCUGGUGUUUCCACCAGCCUGCUUCUGUCCCUGGGGAUCUGGGGUUCAGAGAUUGUCCAGGAGAGGAGUGACAAGCGAAUUCUAAUGCCACACUAUUGUUUAAUGCUCCUGACUUGGAACAAGAAAGGCUGCUGAUACUUGUGUUCUUGCUUAGAACCCAACUUGUUUAGGUGUCACAUAAAUGCGGAGGAAAAGACACACAGUCACACACCAAAAAAUGGCUGCACAGUGAAUCUAUGAAAUUGCUACAUAGCACUUGGUUGAUAUUUAAUACCAAAAGUCUCCAUACCCUGUAAAAAGGACAGUCAUUUAAGUUCUUGACUGUAUAAAAUAAAUAUGGAAAUCAUAA